AGUGAACGCUGGCGGUAGGCCUAACACAUGCAAGUCGAACGGCAGCACAGUAAUAGCUUGCUCUUACGGUUGGCGAGUGGCGGACGGGUGAGGUAUACAUCGGAAUCUACUUUUUCGUGGGGGAUAACGUAGGGAAACUUACGCUAAUACCGCAUACGACCUACGGGUGAAAGCAUGGGAUCUUCGGACCUUGCGCGAUUGAAUGAGCCGAUGUCGGAUUAGCUAGUUGUCGGGGUAAAGGCCCACCAAGGCGACGAUCCGUAGCUGGUCUGAGAGGAUGAUCAGCCACACUGGAACUGAGACACGGUCCAGACUACUACGGGAGGCAGCAGUGGGGAAUAUUGGACAAUGGGCGCAAGCCUGAUCCAGCAAUACCGCGUGGGUGAAGAAGGCCUUCGGGUUGUAAAGCCCUUUUGUUGGGAAAGAAAAGCAGCAGGUUAAUACACCGAUGUUCUGACGGUACCCAAAGAAUAAGCACCGGCUAACUUCGUG
Molecule: ribosomal RNA, 492 nt
Filed under: uncultured bacterium
Lineage: Bacteria
Description: partial 16S ribosomal RNA
Rfam family: Bacterial small subunit ribosomal RNA
Source: RNAcentral